CCUACGGGAGGCAGCAGUGGGGAAUAUUGCACAAUGGGCGCAAGCCUGAUGCAGCCACGCCGCGUGUGUGAAGAAGGCCUUCGGGUUGUAAAGCACUUUCAGCGAGGAGGAAAGGUUGUUGGCUAAUACCCAACAGCUGUGACGUUACUCGCAGAAGAAGCACCGGCUAACUCCGUGCCAGCAGCCGCGGUAAU
RNAcentral lists this ribosomal RNA (194 nucleotides) under uncultured bacterium. RNAcentral's name for it is "partial 16S ribosomal RNA". It matches the Rfam family "Bacterial small subunit ribosomal RNA", at positions 338 to 524 of the family's 1533-position model. The record is from RNAcentral.